GACGAACGCUGGCGGCGUGCUUAACACAUGCAAGUCGAACGGAAAGGCCCUGCUUUUGUGGGGUGCUCGAGUGGCGAACGGGUGAGUAACACGUGAGUAACCUGCCCUUGACUUUGGGAUAACUUCAGGAAACUUGGGCUAAUACCGGAUAGGAGCUCCUGCUGCAUGGUGGGGGUUGGAAAGUUUCGGCGGUUGGGGAUGGACUCGCGGCUUAUCAGCUUGUUGGGGGGGUGGUGGCUUACCAAGGCUUUGACGGGUAGCCGGCCUGGGAGGGUGACCGGACACAUUGGGACUGAGAUACGGCCCAGACUCCUACGGGAGGCAGCGGUGGGGAAUAUUGCACAAUGGGAGGAAGCCUGAUGCAGCAACGCCGCGUGCGGGAUGACGGCCUUCGGGUUGUAAACCGCUUUCGCCUGUGACGAAGCGUGAGUGACGGUAAUGGGUAAAGAAGCACCGGCUAACUACGUG
RNAcentral lists this ribosomal RNA (468 nucleotides) under uncultured bacterium. RNAcentral's name for it is "partial 16S ribosomal RNA". It matches the Rfam family "Bacterial small subunit ribosomal RNA", at positions 28 to 507 of the family's 1533-position model. The record is from RNAcentral.